UACGUAGGGUGCAGGCGUUAAUCGGAAUUACUGGGCGUAAAGCGUGCGCAGGCGGUUUGCUAAGACAGGUGUGAAAUCCCCGGGCUUAACCUGGGAACUGCGCUUGUUACUGGCAAGCUGGAGUGUGGCAGAGGGGGGUGGAAUUCCACGUGUAGCAGUGAAAUGCGUAGAGAUGUGGAGGAACACCGAUGGCGAAGGCAGCGUUCUGGACUGUAACUGACACUGAGGAACGAAAGCCAGGGGAGCAAACGGG
This 253-nucleotide ribosomal RNA is filed under the name uncultured bacterium. RNAcentral describes it as "partial 16S ribosomal RNA". It matches the Rfam family "Bacterial small subunit ribosomal RNA", at positions 524 to 776 of the family's 1533-position model. The record is from RNAcentral.